RNAcentral lists this ribosomal RNA (253 nucleotides) under uncultured bacterium. RNAcentral describes it as "partial 16S ribosomal RNA". It matches the Rfam family "Bacterial small subunit ribosomal RNA", at positions 524 to 776 of the family's 1533-position model. The record is from RNAcentral.
UACGGAGGGUGCAAGCGUUAAUCGGAAUUACUGGGCGUAAAGCGCGCGUAGGCGGAUAAUUAAGUCGGAUGUGAAAGCCCCGGGCUCAACCUGGGAACUGCAUCCGAUACUGGUUAUCUAGAGUACAGUAGAGGGUGGUAGAAUUUCUUGUGUAGCAGUGAAAUGCGUAGAUAUGAGAAGGAAUACCAGUGGCGAAGGCGGCCACCUGGACUGAUACUGACGCUGAGGUGCGAAAGCGUGGGGAGCAAACGGG